Non-coding RNA from Mus caroli (Ryukyu mouse), 855 nucleotides. The record is from RefSeq and is a predicted model, not a curated record. NCBI's taxonomy places the organism in Eukaryota, Metazoa, Chordata, Mammalia, Rodentia, Muridae.
CCUCUAGCGCAGGCGCAGAGAGUGCUCCAAUAUGGCCGCCUCCGUGGAUCUGGAGUUGAAGAAGGCCUUCACAGAGCUUCAAGCCAAAGUUAUCGAUACUCAACAGAAGGUGAAGCUUGCAGACAUACAGAUUGAACAGCUAAACAGAACGAAAAAGCACGCACACCUUACGGACACAGAGAUCAUGACUCUGGUAGAUGAGACUAACAUGUACGAAGGUGUAGGAAGAAUGUUUAUUCUACAGUCCAAGGAAGUAAUUCACAACCAGCUGUUAGAAAAACAGAAAAUAGCAGAAGAAAAAAUUAAAGAGCUGGAGCAGAAGAAGUCCUACCUGGAGCAGAGUGUCAAGGAGGCUGAGGACAAUAUCCGGGAGAUGCUGAUGGCUCGGAGGGCACAGUAGGAGCUGCUGGGAAGCGCCUUCCCUUCUGAUCCCUCACAUCCUGUCACCGCAGGGGCUGUGCAGGGUACUGCCCUUCCUCUGCCCAGCGGCCCCAUCUCUCCAUCACCCUGAGCCCCUCAGGUCCCAACUGAAUGUCUGCCAACCCCUGCUCAGGACACUCUUCUUUCCUGGGGCAAGCCAGGAGCUCUCAACAGAGGGAAGACUGGAGGGCAGAUGGAGAAAGCUGACCAAGCCUCUCACUAGGCAUGUGGGUUAGACCAGGUUAGACCAAUAAAAAGCUAUGUUUUUAAAAAACAAACAAACAAACAAAAAACCACAGGCUGUCUUAAGGAGAACAGAAAGACCCAUUGGUAAGCCUUGCGGAAAAUAUCUUACCAAAAAAGAAUCCUUACAAAAGCAAGUCCUCUGCUCACUCUGUUAUCCACCAAAACAUUCCCAACCAAAUCACUUCUCCA